AAAGCGCUUCUGCAAAGAAAAAUUAACAAAUACGAAAGAACACCACCAAGCUAAAAACUCUUAUCCAAAAAGCUCAGAGCAGCAACGCGAUUUGCACCUUCGGUUUCACGAAUCAUUGCGUUUUUUGGAUUGCAUCUUCAGAGUUCAUCCUCACGUUUCAUCGUAACAGCUCGCAUUUGUUCUUCGCAUCGCAUCAGUUCGCAUCCAACCUUAACAGUGUCGCGUUUCCAUUGGUUCACGGCAUUGCGUUUGAUAUCUUUCAUGGAUUAUGUUUUGGAUUCAAAGAGGUAUUCAACGAUUCGAAGCUUCAUGAAAUCAACAACAACUAACGAAUUGUGGAUCGAAGCGAAGACUCACCGGUUUCGACGCGAAGACAAAAACAGAGUGAGGUUCCGAAUGUUAGUAAUGGAUGUUAGUUGGAAAGUGUAAAAAAUGUUGAUUGCAAUUCUGAGGUGAUUUGUUUGAAUUCUGGUUAUUCUGUUAUGAACUUCAGUCUACAAGCUGUUAAUUGGUUUACAAAUGUUAUAAUUUAUUGAAUGGAUAUUAAAACAUGGGAUUAUGUAUAGAUGAGUUUGACAUGUGAUUAGAAUAUAUACUGAAACUUGAACUAGUCAUGGCAGUGCUUAAUGUUGUAGACACUGCUGCUGAAGGCAAAGCUGUAGACGGGACAGAUGAUGAUGUCGAAGAAACCGAUGGUGAGGCAUAUUGUAACUGGCUGUGAUAUAAAUUUGAUCGGAAAAAAUGAAGUGUUCUUCAU
Long non-coding RNA from Lathyrus oleraceus (garden pea), 757 nucleotides. RefSeq lists it as uncharacterized. The transcript has 2 exons. The record is from RefSeq and is a predicted model, not a curated record. NCBI's taxonomy places the organism in Eukaryota, Viridiplantae, Streptophyta, Magnoliopsida, Fabales, Fabaceae.